GAUGAACGCUGGCGGCGUGCCUAAUACAUGCAAGUCGAGCGAACAGACGAGGAGCUUGCUCCUCUGACGUUAGCGGCGGACGGGUGAGUAACACGUGGAUAACCUACCUAUAAGACUGGGAUAACUUCGGGAAACCGGAGCUAAUACCGGAUAAUAUAUUGAACCGCAUGGUUCAAUAGUGAAAGACGGUUUUGCUGUCACUUAUAGAUGGAUCCGCGCCGCAUUAGCUAGUUGGUAAGGUAACGGCUUACCAAGGCAACGAUGCGUAGCCGACCUGAGAGGGUGAUCGGCCACCCUGGAACUGAGCCACGGUCCAGACUCCUACGGGAGGCAGCAGGAGGGAAUCUUCCGCAAUGGGCGAAAGCCUGACGGAGCAACGCCGCGUGAGUGAUGAAGGUCUUCGGAUCGUAAAACUCUGUUAUUAGGGAAGAACAAAUGUGUAAGUAACUAUGCACGUCUUGACGGUACCUAAUCAGAAAGCCACGGCUAACUACGUG
Molecule: ribosomal RNA, 497 nt
Filed under: uncultured bacterium
Lineage: Bacteria
Description: partial 16S ribosomal RNA
Rfam family: Bacterial small subunit ribosomal RNA
Source: RNAcentral